RNAcentral lists this ribosomal RNA (490 nucleotides) under uncultured bacterium. RNAcentral describes it as "bacterial SSU rRNA". It matches the Rfam family "Bacterial small subunit ribosomal RNA", at positions 30 to 507 of the family's 1533-position model. The record is from RNAcentral.
AUUGAACGCUGGCGGCAGGCCUAACACAUGCAAGUCGAACGGUAACAGGAAGCAGCUUGCUGCUUCGCUGACGAGUGGCGGACGGGUGAGUAAUGUCUGGGAAGCUGCCUGAUGGAGGGGGAUAACUACUGGAAACGGUAGCUAAUACCGCAUAAUGUCGCAAGACCAAAGAGGGGGACCUUCGGGCCUCUUGCCAUCGGAUGUGCCCAGAUGGGAUUAGCUUGUUGGUGGGGUAACGGCUCACCAAGGCGACGAUCCCUAGCUGGUCUGAGAGGAUGACCAGCCACACUGGAACUGAGACACGGUCCAGACUCCUACGGGAGGCAGCAGUGGGGAAUAUUGCACAAUGGGCGCAAGCCUGAUGCAGCCAUGCCGCGUGUAUGAAGAAGGCCUCCUGGUUGUAAAGUACUUUCAGCGGGGAGGAAGGGAGUAAAGUUAAUACCUUUGCUCAUUGACGUUACCCGCAGAAGAAGCACCGGCUAACUCCGUG